GCCAGUCCUACAGAAAACAGUUAAUAUUGCC
This 31-nucleotide non-coding RNA is filed under the name Rattus norvegicus (Norway rat). Lineage: Eukaryota; Metazoa; Chordata; Mammalia; Rodentia; Muridae. The record is from RNAcentral.